This 383-nucleotide ribosomal RNA is filed under the name uncultured eukaryote. RNAcentral's name for it is "partial 18S ribosomal RNA". It matches the Rfam family "Eukaryotic small subunit ribosomal RNA", at positions 592 to 976 of the family's 1831-position model. The record is from RNAcentral.
CAAUAGCGUAUAUUAAAGUUGUUGCAGUUAAAAAGCUCGUAGUUGGAUUUCUGGCAGGAGCGACCGGUCACACACUCUGUGUGUGAACUUGCGUUGUCUCUGGCCAUCCUUGGGAAGAUCCUGUUUGGCAUUAAGUUGUCGGGCAGGGGAUACCCAUCGUUUACUGUGAAAAAAUUAGAGUGUUUAAAGCAGGCUUAUGCCGUUGAAUAUAUUAGCAUGGAAUAAUAAGAUAGGACUUCGGAACUAUUUUGUUGGUUUGCGUUACGAAGUAAUGAUUAAUAGGGACAGUUGGGGGUAUUCGUAUUUCGUUGUCAGAGGUGAAAUUCUUGGAUUUCCGAAAGACGAACUACUGCGAAAGCAUUUACCAAGGAUGUAUUCAUUAA